AAUUUCUCUAGUAUAGAUUUUGCUGCAGGAACAUAUUUAAAUAAUAGUAGAUUCUUUUUUUCUGUGCAGUCGCAACAUAUGGCAUCUUCUCAUGGCUAGUAAUGAAUUGCAUACUGAUCGAAUGAGGAAUGAUAAACUACUGGAAAUCUGAUGUCUAUUGCUAAACAAAAGCCAAAAUCAGCAAAAUCACGAAAGUUUUCUCAUGUAACAAUUCUAAUAAAAUAAAAAUGUUAUUUGUCUUUUCUACAGUA
This is a long non-coding RNA of Wasmannia auropunctata (little fire ant), 251 nucleotides long. RefSeq lists it as uncharacterized. The transcript is spliced from 2 exons. The record is from RefSeq and is a predicted model, not a curated record. NCBI's taxonomy places the organism in Eukaryota, Metazoa, Arthropoda, Insecta, Hymenoptera, Formicidae.